CCUACGGGUGGCAGCAGUGGGGAAUAUUGCACAAUGGGGGAAACCCUGAUGCAGCGACGCCGCGUGAGUGAAGAAGUAUUUCGGUACGUAAAGCUCUAUCAGCAGGGAAGAAAAACCGGCCUUAGGGCCGCCAGACGGUACUUGACUAAGAAGCCCCGGCUAACUACGUGCCAGCAGCCGCGGUAAUACGUAGGGGGCAAGCGUUAUCCGGAUUUACUGGGUGUAAAGGGGGCGUAGACGGCAGCGCAAGUCUGGAGUGAAAUGCCGGGGCCCAACCCCGGAACUGCUUUGGAAACUGUGCAGCUGGAGUGCGGGAGAGGUAAGCGGAAUUCGUAGUGUAGCGGUGAAAUGCGUAGAUAUUAGGAGGAACACCGAUGGCGAAGGCAGCUUACUGGACUGUAACUGACGUUGAGGCACGAAAGCGUGGGGAGCGAACAGGAUUAGAUACCCCAGUAGUC
RNAcentral lists this ribosomal RNA (458 nucleotides) under uncultured bacterium. RNAcentral describes it as "partial 16S ribosomal RNA". It matches the Rfam family "Bacterial small subunit ribosomal RNA", at positions 338 to 795 of the family's 1533-position model. The record is from RNAcentral.